RNAcentral lists this ribosomal RNA (423 nucleotides) under Triticum aestivum (bread wheat). RNAcentral's name for it is "partial small subunit ribosomal RNA". Lineage: Eukaryota; Viridiplantae; Streptophyta; Magnoliopsida; Poales; Poaceae. The record is from RNAcentral.
AUGCUUGGGUGCGCUCACGCGGCCAACGUCCAUGAUCCUGCUCAUGAAGGGUCCAUGCGUGCCAUUGCUUCAUCAAGCCACGCCGACGGAGCUUCCUCUACUCAUGUUGCCUCGUCAUCCCGCGUUGUUGAGCAGCAAGAGGAAGAAGAAACAGAGGACGACGAAGAAGAGGAGGAGGAGGACGCAGAGGAGGAGGACGCAGAAGAAGAGGAGGAGGAGGAGGACGCAGAGGAGUACGACGACAAUGACGGGCCUCAACCGACGCAGCCAAGCCAGGGGAAGAGGGUAUCUCAUCCACACCAGGAUAUUUUGAGCCCAUCCCCGUUUCAGAAACCGGUUCCUCGUCGUCGCACAAAGAAGCCGGACGAAACCCGCUCGAAGAGAAACGACGACCGUACCGCUAAGAGGAGCAGGAGGAAGUAA